CACGUGCCCUUUUAGAUGCCUGUACUUAGUCACAGAGCUCCAUCAAUGCUCUCGGGCGUCGAUUCGCCAAGGUGACGUACAGUGAACACUUUACUAUGCUCUCGGGCGUCUUUUUCGCCGUGGUGAUACACUGAUCACAGAGCCAACAUAAACAAUUCAAUAUGCUCUCGGGCGUCUUUUUCGCCGUGGUGAUACACUGAUCACAGAGCCAACAUAAACAAUUCAAUAUGCUCUCGGGCGUCUUUUUCGCCGUGGUGAUACACUGAUCACAGAGCCAACAUAACCAAUUCAAUAUGCUCUCGGGCGUCUUUUUCGCCGUGGUGAUACACUGAUCACAGAGCCAACAUAAACAAUUCAAUAUAAUCAACCACUAAACUCAC
RNAcentral lists this long non-coding RNA (380 nucleotides) under Eucalyptus grandis. RNAcentral's name for it is "long non-coding RNA (EGRA_LNC007639)". Lineage: Eukaryota; Viridiplantae; Streptophyta; Magnoliopsida; Myrtales; Myrtaceae. The record is from RNAcentral.